GUGCUCACUUUGGUAACACAUAUACUAAAAUUGGAAUGAUACAGAAAAGAUUAGUAUGGCCCCUGCACAAGGAUGACAUGGAAAUUUGUGAAGUGGUUCUAUAUUUU
RNAcentral lists this small nuclear RNA (107 nucleotides) under Erinaceus europaeus (western European hedgehog). The record is from RNAcentral. Lineage: Eukaryota; Metazoa; Chordata; Mammalia; Eulipotyphla; Erinaceidae.